Molecule: ribosomal RNA, 528 nt
Filed under: uncultured bacterium
Lineage: Bacteria
Description: bacterial SSU rRNA
Rfam family: Bacterial small subunit ribosomal RNA
Source: RNAcentral
CCAGCCAUCCCGCGUGCAGGAAGAAGGCGCUAUGCGUCGUAAACUGCUUUUCCAGGGGAAGAAAACCUGAUACGUGUAUCGGCUUGCCGGUACCCUGGGAAUAAGCAUCGGCUAACUCCGUGCCAGCAGCCGCGGUAAUACGGAGGAUGCGAGCGUUAUCCGGAUUUAUUGGGUUUAAAGGGUGCGUAGGCGGAUUAAUAAGUCAGUGGUGAAAACCUUCAGCUUAACUGGAGACUUGCCAUUGAUACUGUUAGUCUUGAGUACGGUCAAGGUAGGCGGAAUGUGUAAUGUAGCGGUGAAAUGCUUAGAUAUUACACAGAACACCGAUUGCGAAGGCAGCCUACUGGGCCAUUACUGACGCUGAUGCACGAAAGCGUGGGGAGCGAACAGGAUUAGAUACCCUGGUAGUCCACGCCGUAAACGAUGAUCACUCGCUGUUAGCGAUACACAGUUAGCGGCUAAGCAAAAGCAUUAAGUGAUCCACCUGGGGAGUACGGCCGCAAGGCUGAAACUCAAAGGAAUUGACGG